CGGUAACGAUGGAAAGCUUGCUUUCCAGGCGACGAGUGGCGGACGGGUGAGUAAUACAUAGGAAUCUGCCCAGUAGCGGGGGACAACCUGGUGAAAACCAGGCUAAUACCGCAUACGCCCCCUGGUUUAAUCACUGGGGGGGAAAGCGGGGGACCUUCGGGCCUCGCACUAUUGGAUGAGCCUAUGUCUGAUUAGCUAGUUGGUAGGGUAAAAGCCUACCAAGGCGACGAUCAGUAGGUGGUCUGAGAGGAUGAUCAGCCACAUGGGGAAUGAAACACGGCUUGACUCCUACGGGAGGCUGAAUGGGCUGAAUGGG
This 316-nucleotide ribosomal RNA is filed under the name uncultured bacterium. Its description in RNAcentral is "bacterial SSU rRNA". It matches the Rfam family "Bacterial small subunit ribosomal RNA", at positions 67 to 351 of the family's 1533-position model. The record is from RNAcentral.